CUAAUGUCGACUUGAAUUGUCUAGUAAAGGAACACUAGGAGAAAGGUUGUGAACUGUGAUGAACUACAAGCGGCUGCGUCUUAAUUGCCACUUACGCCUGGGGGAAGAUGUCUUUAUAGCAGUUUCAUUCAAGGCCGUGACCUGGUGUAGGGUCUCUGCUUAUCGGAAAUCUGCUUCCAUCCUGUUCUUUGUUACAGCCCGGAGUAAACAGUGGGAGGCAGGAGCUCAGGAAAGUGAUCCUGGCCUUGCUAUGGAUGCUGGACGGAAGGUAUCAGCUGAGUGCUCAGCAGUAGAGGAACGUACGGGAAAUUACUAAAUACAGAGGAGAAGACAACACUACCAUAUACAGUAUGCCUGUCAUCUGGAAAUUAGAUGCUGGGGUUUGUAGUUCUGCAGAAGCAAUGUUAACUGCCUGUUGCAUACAGUUGUACGCUUUCAAGAAUUUAAAGGACAGGGGGGUGCAUAGAAAAUAUAUCUGGGGACAAAGAGUAAUGAUGCCAUAAUACUGCAUGCAAUUAUGCGUAAAUAAUACACCCAUAUACUUCCAAAUUACAGUGUCAUAAAAUGCCAUACUGUGAAAACAUAAU
This is a long non-coding RNA of Bufo gargarizans (Asiatic toad), 587 nucleotides long. RefSeq lists it as uncharacterized. The transcript is spliced from 3 exons. NCBI's taxonomy places the organism in Eukaryota, Metazoa, Chordata, Amphibia, Anura, Bufonidae. The record is from RefSeq and is a predicted model, not a curated record.